Ricinus communis (castor bean) is the source of this 428-nucleotide long non-coding RNA. RefSeq lists it as uncharacterized. The record is from RefSeq and is a predicted model, not a curated record. NCBI's taxonomy places the organism in Eukaryota, Viridiplantae, Streptophyta, Magnoliopsida, Malpighiales, Euphorbiaceae. The transcript is spliced from 3 exons.
CAAGCCUUCCUAUAUCGCGGGCUCUUCUAUCGGUGUAGCCUUUGACGCACCUCUUACGGCCAUGUCUAAUGUGGUUCUAAGGAUUGUCUGAUUCCUUCCUGAUCCGAUGGUUUCAUACUAGAGCCCAUACGAUGUGAUGGAGCACCAACUUGCCAUGAAGCAGUGCCUCCCUCUGGAAUUCACUCCGGGCACUUGCAUUCAUACUUAGAGGGAUCAUUUCGAGCACGUACAUCAAUUUAUCGGCGCUGCGAGGAGGCAGUUCUUCAUCCUCAGCAAGGACUGGCAGAGGGACUAUGAGGGCUAUAGGGGCAAUUGGAUGACCCACAACGUCAUUUUGACACUUAGCAACAUCGAAUUGACACACUAACUCUUUAGGUAUCAGUCUUACAGACCCAAUAAAUGGAUACUGACUCGGAUGACGAGAUGGG